GUCCGCUGUCAAUACGAACCCGCACGAGUGGGAGAAAUUUUGCUAAAUUUGACCAACGUGCAGUCCCCCAAGUCAACAUAAAAUUUCAACAAGGGGGGCUCAGCCCCCCUGAGCCCUCCCACCAGUACACCACUUGGCCUAUCUUCUAAGCAAGGAUUUUUUUUUGCACUAUGCCUGGAAAGAUUUUUUUUUCUUAAUAUUUU
This is a non-coding RNA of Paramuricea clavata, 203 nucleotides long. The record is from the annotation of a GenBank genome assembly. NCBI's taxonomy places the organism in Eukaryota, Metazoa, Cnidaria, Anthozoa, Malacalcyonacea, Plexauridae.